Molecule: ribosomal RNA, 1429 nt
Filed under: metagenome
Description: bacterial LSU rRNA
Rfam family: Bacterial large subunit ribosomal RNA
Source: RNAcentral
UUAGGAGGGACCAUUAGGACCCAAUAGGGACAAACGGUGGUUCAUGACUCCGAGAGGUGAUGAGGUCCGGACUUGUCCGGGACACCCGGUGAUCCCAUGCUUCCAAGAAAAGCUGCGUGCAGAGCCCCUCUGGUGACCGUACCGCAAACCGACUCAGGUGGGCGGGGUGAGUAUCCCAAGGCGCGUGAGAGAACCCUGGCUAAGGAACUAGGCAAAAUAACACCGUAACUUCGGGAGAAGGUGUGCCGUUGAUGGUGAAGCCCUCCUCGGGCCGAGCUGUUGGCGGUUGCAGCGAAAUGGGGAUUGUGACUGUUUACUAAAAACAUAGGACUCUGCAAAGUCGAAAGACGACGUAUAGGGUCUGAUGCCUGCCCGGUGCUGGAAGGUAAGGGGAAGUGUCAGCGCAAGCGAAGCACCCAACCGAAGCCCCAGUAAACGGCGGCCGUAACGAUAACGGUCCUAAGGUAGCGAAAUUCCUUGUCGGGUAAGUUCCGACCUGCACGAAUGGCAUAACAACAUUCCCGCUGUCUCAACCAGGGACUCAGCGAAAUUGCAUAGGGGGUGAAGAUGCCCUCUACCCGCGGCAAGACGGGAAGACCCCAUGAACCUUUACUGCAACUUGGCAGUGAACUUCGGGAUGUUCUGCGUAGGAUAGGUGGGAGGCGUUGAAGCCGGGCUUCCGGGUUCGGCAGAGCCACCGUUGAAAUACCACCCUGAACAUUCUGGGGUUCUAACCUAGGCCCGUGAUCCGGGUCGGGGACACUGCCUGGUAGGCAGUUUGACUGGGGCGGUCGCCUCCAAAAUCGUAACGGAGGCGUGCGAAGGUUCCCUCAGCCUGAUUGGAAACCAGGCGUAGAGUGCAAACGCAUAAGGGAGCUUGACUGUGAGACCGACAGGUCGAGCAGGUGCGAAAGCAGGUGUUAGUGAUCCGGUGGUUCCUGAUGGAGGGGCCAUCGCUCAACGGAUAAAAGGUACUCUGGGAUAACAGGCUGAUCGCGCCUGAGAGUUCACAUCGGCGGCGCGGUUUGGCACCUCGAUGUUGGCUCAUCGCAUCCUGGGGCUGGAGCAGGUCCCAAGGGUUUGGCUGUUCGCCAAUUAAAGCGGUACGCGAGCUGGGUUUAGAACGUCGUGAGACAGUUCGGUCCCUAUCUGCCGUGGGCGUAGGACACUUGAGAGGAGUUGCCCAUAGUACGAGAGGACCUGGGUGAACGUACCCCUGGUGAUCCGGUUGUUCUGCCAAGAGCAUUGCCGGGUAGCUACGUACGGAACGGAUAACCGCUGAAAGCAUCUAAGCGGGAAGCCGGCCUCAAGACUAGGUGUCCCGUCGAAAGACCUAAAGGCUCCAUGUAGACCACGUGGUAAUAGGCUGGGUGUGAAAGCGUAGCAAUGCGCGGAGCUAACCAGUACUAAUAAGCCGUGAGGCUUGACC